Molecule: transfer RNA, 64 nt
Filed under: Chilocorus rubidus
Lineage: Eukaryota; Metazoa; Arthropoda; Insecta; Coleoptera; Coccinellidae
Description: tRNA-Cys
Source: RNAcentral
AGUCUUAUAUUCUAAAGUGAUAUUAAAUUGCAAAUUUAAUGGUGAAUAAUUUAUUCUAAGGCUU